ACGUGGGGUGACCUGUCUGGUUAAAUCCGAUAACGCGUGAGACUCUGGAUAAAUGACGAUGCUCGAUGAGAGUAGGGAAGCUCGGGUCGAUAACA
Molecule: ribosomal RNA, 95 nt
Filed under: uncultured eukaryote
Lineage: Eukaryota
Description: partial 18S ribosomal RNA
Source: RNAcentral